Molecule: ribosomal RNA, 458 nt
Filed under: uncultured bacterium
Lineage: Bacteria
Description: bacterial SSU rRNA
Rfam family: Bacterial small subunit ribosomal RNA
Source: RNAcentral
GAUGAACGCUGGCGGUAUGCCUAACACAUGCAAGUCGUACGAGAGUUUUAACUCAAGUGGCGGACGGGUGAGUAACACGUGAGAAUUUGCCUUUAGGAGGGGGAUAACAACUGGAAACGGUUGCUAAUACCUCAUAUGCUUUCGAGUGAAAAAGNUUUAUCUGCCUAAAGAGAAGCUCGCGGCUGAUUAGCUUGUUGGUAAGGUAAUGGCUUACCAAGGCGACGAUCAGUAUCUGGUUUGAGAGGACGAUCAGACACACUGGAACUGAGACACGGUCCAGACUCCUACGGGAGGCAGCAGUGGGGAAUUUUCCGCAAUGGGCGAAAGCCUGACGGGAGCAAUACCGCGUGAGGGAAGACUGCCUAUGGGUUGUAAACCGUCUUUUUCUAGGGAGGAAUUCAAUGACGUGUACCUGAAGAAUAAGCAUCGGCUAACUCCGUGCCAGCAGCCGCGGUAAU